CUUCUCUGGAGUUUUGCAGUGAGCCCAGGACACAGAGGUGAUCUGAUCUGAAUAUAAACUAGCUCAGAGUUCACUUCAGAGAGGACCCCAGCAAUUUCUGACCAACGCUUUCGGGAGCAAUGUGGUUGCCUGUGUGUCAAAGCUUUCUAGGACUGGUUUCACUUGCUUUAAUUGGAUUACAUAGAGGGAGAACUUUGCGUUCAAGAAGAUCUGCUUUAAUCUACAAAUUUCAGCAACAAAUUAGAAGGAACACCUGCAUGACCAUGGGUAACACUGAAAUUUAUAAAUGUUGACACCACAUCACAUUUAUGAAGACUCAGUGUGAAGGAAGACUCCUUUCCUGGGAGCACAAAGACUUCUGCUGCCAUUGCUACUGAUGCUUGUCAUGCAGCUGACUCCUGAGGGUUCACAAUGUGGGAUUUAAAAACUGAAAAUGGGCAUUCCUGCCAUGCACAGAGCACUGAAUGUCUCAUACAGGUUGGGAAAAUUCUUGCAUCUCUCAUUUGCUUUUGCCACGUGCAUCUGGGCAACUACUGUAUCAUAUCACCAAAAUCUUUUUAUUCAGUACUUCUUUCCCUUUCUGUAAUUGUUUCUUUUCCUUCUUUGUUCAUGGAUAAUUCCAUAGUGUAUACAUGUUCCUUGGGACCCUUGACAACAUUUUCUGCCUCUUCCACUGCUAUGCAUCCAGACCUGAUUUCUCCUCCUGCAGUAGCAAAGUUUGUUUCCUAACAAUACUGUAAACUCUUCAAAUAACCAAACUGCUUGUAAAGCAUCAAGCCCAAGGCAAGAAAGUGGAAAAAUAUCUAAGAAGAAAUAGAGAGAAAAUAAUGUAAGACCCAUAGUUUUUUUUCUUCCAUGGCAAAACAGUGGUAGCAGGUAUCAUCUGCCCUAGUUUUGUGCCUUGCACAUUGUUGUGGGACCUUGUGGCAUGCUGAAACACUUCAAGAACAUGAAUUAAAAUUGUUGAGAGAUCUUGAAUAUAAUUGGUCUUGUAUGGGCCAGGAAGAUGUAUUACAUUACUUACCUGGGUCCUUCCUAAAUGUUCGGUGAGUUUACAAUCCUCUAACAAGUGUUAUGGCUUUUGUUAAUAGAAGGUUCCAGGAAACAAGUUCUCAAGCAGACUUUCUGAUGAAAUUGUUUUCUGCUACCAGUAUGGUGAAGGACAAAACUCAAAACUAAUCUCCAAACCCUUGAAAUGAGGUGAUGAGUUUCUUAGCAACCUGCUCUGUGUUUGAGAUCAAAGGUCACCGUGGUCUAGAACCUGAGCAGAAAACAAAAUAAAAAGAUGCACUUAAUGACUUACCAGCUGAAAAAUGACUUGUGUUCCAAUUAGAAUGAGACACCAUCCAUGUUUUCUAUCUGCAAGUGGGCAUUAGGAGAAAUGCUGACUCCAGAGAUUGCUUUGUGUGCGUUUUACAAGUGAUGAAAACUAUUUUAAUUUAUU
Molecule: long non-coding RNA, 1444 nt
Organism: Lagopus leucura (white-tailed ptarmigan)
Lineage: Eukaryota; Metazoa; Chordata; Aves; Galliformes; Phasianidae
Exons: 5
Source: RefSeq, a predicted model, not a curated record